GUGGGGGAUAUUGCACAAUGGGGGGAACCCUGAUGCAGCGACGCCGCGUGAGUGAAGAAGUAUUUCGGUAUGUAAAGCUCUAUCAGCAGGGAAGAAAGACCCUUCGGGGGGAUGACGGUACCUGACUAAGAAGCCCCGGCUAACUACGUGCCAGCAGCCGCGGUAAUACGUAGGGGGCAAGCGUUAUCCGGAUUUACUGGGUGUAAAGGGAGCGUAGACGGAACAGCAAGUCUGAUGUGAAAUCCCACGGCUCAACCGUGGAACUGCAUUGGAAACUGUUGAUCUUGAGUACCGGAGGGGUGAGCGGAAUUCCUGGUGUAGCGGUGAAAUGCGCAGAUAUCAGGAAGAACACCGGCGGCGAAGGCGGCUCACUGGACGGUAACUGACGUUGAGGCUCGAAAGCGUGGGGAGCAAACAGGAUUAGAAACCCUAGUAGUCC
Molecule: ribosomal RNA, 439 nt
Filed under: uncultured bacterium
Lineage: Bacteria
Description: bacterial SSU rRNA
Rfam family: Bacterial small subunit ribosomal RNA
Source: RNAcentral